AUGUUCCAUGAGCAGAACUUUGGAAGGGUACAUGACAAGGAAAAGUUUGAGAAGGAGUUGGCCAGGCUUAAGAGUGAGCAUGAAAGGGAGUUGGCCAAGCUUAGGACUGAAAAUGACAAGCUUUGCAUUGAGUACACCAAGCUUGUUGAUGAUGUAUCCAAAAUGUUUGAUUGGCAGGAUGGUAGGGUGGACAAGCAGGUGUACCAGAAACAAGUGGAGGAGGAAGAGCUUGAGAAGAAGAAGAAGGAGCUAGAGGAGAAAGCCAUGUUGGAGGUGCAGAUGGAAAAUCUCAAACUUGCAAAAGAGCAGAGGUGCAUUUUGCAGAGCCAAGCUGAUAUCAUCAGGAACACCAGGAAGGCUAUGAAGGAUGUUGAAGUUGACAGAGAUGUUCUUAAGAAGGAGAAGGCAAAGCUUGAGCUUGUUGUUGCUGAGCUGCUGAAAGAAGGGUAUGGCAGCAAGAAGAAGUUAGAGCAAAUCAAGGCCAUCCUUGAGUCUUGA
Molecule: ribosomal RNA, 498 nt
Filed under: Triticum aestivum (bread wheat)
Lineage: Eukaryota; Viridiplantae; Streptophyta; Magnoliopsida; Poales; Poaceae
Description: partial small subunit ribosomal RNA
Source: RNAcentral